Molecule: long non-coding RNA, 1028 nt
Filed under: Malus domestica (apple)
Lineage: Eukaryota; Viridiplantae; Streptophyta; Magnoliopsida; Rosales; Rosaceae
Description: long non-coding RNA (MDOM_LNC008450)
Source: RNAcentral
AUGACUUUAAACAUUAAAAUAACUAAGGAAACACGACAUAAAUGCACAAGAACAAGCUAACUAAGUCGCAUAAAUAUGCUCCUAUCAAUUCUUCACUUACAAAUUGUUGUAUGAAGAAAUGAGAGUUGCCUUCAACAACUCUUGAAAGUUUGUAAUUAUGUUUAGAACUUAAUGGUUGGUUGAUAAAAAUAGUCCAUCAACAUGGACUUAUGAUGAUUUUGAAUCAUUGAGUGUUAAAGGGUUAAACCACUUCUAGAGACGGAAACUAGGCAAGGACUUCACCUUUGUGUCCCUAUCCAAAUGGUUCACUAAGUUUAUUGUAAACUAUAUAGUGAACAAUAACCACACACUCUCCAAAUCGUUUGAUGUGUAUAAGACAAUUGAAAUAAGUUUCAAGAGAUAGUGGGAGUUUAGGGACCAUGACUAUUGUAGUCAAAGGAGAAGUCAAAUGAAGAAGGGGAAAUAACUCCAAGGGAACAAACUUUCUUUAUGAAAGGAUGGACAUUGGAAGGGGUAUUUACAAGAAAUAUCUUGCAAGUGUCAAGAACACACCUUUCGAAGGUGUUGUAAAUUGUUCUUGAAAAAUUCAAAACAAUUGGUUCUUCUACUUGAAUGCUUGAUUCCGUAUUAGUAACUAUGUUUUACAAUCGUUGUCAAAGUGUGGCUAAUAAGAAGUAGAAGAUUAAUGAGAGAAGAGAAAGUACUUCACAUUCGGAACGUGAAUCAAAUAUAGAUCUCUGCGAAAGCAGGUAGUACUUACUUCCUCAUAUGAACUACCAAAGAAAAUGGAAAAACAAAGAUUGUCUUUACAUUCCAAUUUGAAUAAAGGAACUUAAUUCCGUAUGAGAAAUGGAUGAAUGUUUUGCUUGACAAAACAUUGUUCUUCAUUAAUGAAUGAUUAGAUUAUUGUAAUCUAAUUGAUUAUCUCUAUAGUAGAGAUCAUAUGGUAGUGUUAAUUGUUUAGAAUAUAACGAUGCUUAAAACCCAAAAGGUUGCAAGGUAGUGACUAAUCCCAACUGAGUUGUGAU